AUGGGGUGUUAUUAUGACUUGUUCAUGGCAAUAUCUUCAGCAACUGAUUCAGCACAGAUUAGGGACCAAAGAAAGAUUAAGAUGUCAAGCUUGCAUUUGAAAGGAACAUUAUAUUUGGGAGGAAUCUUUCAGUCUGAUAGGGGAGAAAAAGAAGCUGAUCUGAAUUGCAGUGCUGAACAGUAAUUGCCACAUUCAGUGUAACAUGGAAGACUUAGCCCAGCUGAUAGCUGAUAAAUGCUUGAAAAGUUAAGUGGAAGUUAGUUCAGUAAGGGAAAAGACUAAAGCAUGGAUAGAAUUGGGAAUGUGGAACAGCUUGUUCAAAUAUAUGAAACCAAAUGUGAAUAUGCUUUUGCACUUGUAAAUAGUUCAUAAUGGCUGGAGUGUAGAGUGGGAGGAGAAUAGUGAAGGAUGAAGCUGGUAAGUAUAUUUCUCAACAAACAGGACUUGAGUGCUAGACUUACUAUUUUCAUCCCACGUGCCUUGAUUUCAGUAUAAUACAAUCUUGCUUUGCCAUAUGGAGAUUGUACUGUGGAACAAGUAUAGAAUAUCUUAUUUUCCUCAGAUAAAAUGUAGUUAAAUGGUAAACUGCAGUAUGGCAAUUUGAUUCUAAUAUUUAAUUUCUGAGUAAUACUUUACCUAAGAUGUAAAAUUGACUCUUUAUAAGAAAAAUAAAUGCUUGCCACAAGCAUAGUAUUAUAUUGGUAUGAAGAACUAAGAGGACUGUUUUAUUUAUUUUAAUUAAAUUACCAACUGCCUAUUUAUAAACUUUAUUGCUUUAACAAUAUGGCUAGUUUGACUAUUGAAUUAAGUUUCCCUUUCUUCUUUUUUCUCUGAAAAACCUUUAUCCUUCUGUGACAGUGUUCAAGAAAUUGAUUUUACCAAUCUCAUUCUAAUUUCAUGGUUAAAUCUUAAUUUUUUCUGUAAGCAGCUACGCUUGAUAUGUGGCAAAGAGAAUUUAUACACUGAAUGAAAUCCUUUGUGGAAUUGAAAGGUGAGGAGAUUAGAUCUUCAUAAUAAUAUGAAUUUUUCUUUUAUAAAUUAAAUAUUAUUAGCAAGGCAUAAUUAGCUCAAAAACAUGAAGACCCUUCAUGCAUCAGUUCCUGUAUCCUGGGUGAAUUUACUAUAAAAGUACAAUGUUUUACCUCCUAAUUUCAAUGCUAAUGGUUGAGUCACAUUCAGGGAGAAAUACAAAUCAGGAAGAAUAAAAAUACUCCCAGGAGGUAAAAAAGAAAAUAAAUGUCCUGUUGAAGUUUACUAAUAACAUGUUUUUCAGAAAGGCAGCCGGUACAUUAUUAAUUAUGUUUUGGUAGUAGCAAACUCUAAGCUCAUUGUUAGAAGUACAAGUUAUACAGACUAUAAAAUAUACAAACCUUAUAUUUAUUCUCCACUUCCUAAUCCUUGCGAUAAAUACUUAAUCUUCCCAAUUUAUUUACCACUCUGUUCGCAGUUACUACUCUAAAACCAACGUGAC
This 1471-nucleotide long non-coding RNA is filed under the name Callithrix jacchus (white-tufted-ear marmoset). RNAcentral's name for it is "lncRNA (ENSCJAG00000073404.1)". The record is from RNAcentral. Lineage: Eukaryota; Metazoa; Chordata; Mammalia; Primates; Cebidae.